GGAGGUUCUUGGGUGACACCCCAGAAUCAGGCUCCCUCCUGUCUGGUUCUAGGUGUGUCACCUGAGAAAUACA
Myotis davidii is the source of this 73-nucleotide non-coding RNA. The record is from Rfam. NCBI's taxonomy places the organism in Eukaryota, Metazoa, Chordata, Mammalia, Chiroptera, Vespertilionidae.